Non-coding RNA from Oncorhynchus gorbuscha (pink salmon), 74 nucleotides. The record is from the annotation of a RefSeq genome assembly. Lineage: Eukaryota; Metazoa; Chordata; Actinopteri; Salmoniformes; Salmonidae.
GUCCUGUGUGGCUCAAUUGGUGGAGCAUGGCACUUGAAAUGCCAGGGUUGUGGGUUCAAUUCCCACAAGGGACU